Molecule: small nuclear RNA, 21 nt
Filed under: Arabidopsis thaliana (thale cress)
Lineage: Eukaryota; Viridiplantae; Streptophyta; Magnoliopsida; Brassicales; Brassicaceae
Description: snRNA_13931
Source: RNAcentral
AUAGCAUUAAUUAUUAGUAAA